UAUCCGGAGUGGGAAAUGAGCCUCCUUGCUCCAGACCAGGAAGAGUUCAACCACUACAGUGGUUUCCUCCUCAGGAUCCCAGGGCUCCAGCACCAAAUGCCUCCCAGUGUGCUGCUGCUCCACCUCUGGGUCUUAGCUUACGACAGAAGAACAGGAUCUGAGUGGCUCAGAACAGGUUGCCUGAACCCCGGCCGGAGAGCAAUGUGACUUUGGAGACUUCCUCAAAGAAGAUUUGGAAGUACCAGCUGAAUCUGAAGACACCAUGCUGUAAACUCUGCGAGAACAAGAGCAUACCCAAAUUUGCCUAGUGAAGCCCAGGGAGCAUGAGGAAUGAGUGGAAGAAGUGUUGGAAUGUUAGUUAAGACAAAAGCUCUCGCUGGCCUUCCAGCUUGCACUCAGCAUCAACCCCUCUUCUGUCACUCCUCUAAGUACAACGUAUACACAAAAUGCCCAAAUCUAAAGCCUACAGCUUAAUGAAACUCAUUCUCCUAAAGUAAAAAUCUGAUCACAGCAUUUUCUUUGCUUUAAUCCCUCCACUGGCUUCCCAGUUAAAAAGGAAUAAACAACCUGGCCUGUAAGUUA
Marmota monax (woodchuck) is the source of this 582-nucleotide long non-coding RNA. RefSeq lists it as uncharacterized. The transcript has 2 exons. Lineage: Eukaryota; Metazoa; Chordata; Mammalia; Rodentia; Sciuridae. The record is from RefSeq and is a predicted model, not a curated record.